AUGAUCAUCACUGGUGAUGACCCCGAGUAUAUUGCCUUUGUAAAGGCCCGUCUUAGUGAGCAGUUUCUUAUGUCUGAUCUUGGACCUCUUCGCUACUUUCUUGGGAUUGAAGUCUCUUCUACCUCUGAUGGCUUUUUUAUAUCCCAGGAAAAGUAUAUCCAGGAUCUUCUUGCUCGUGCUGCUCUUACUGACGAGCGCAUUGUUGAGACUCCUAUGGAGCUCAAUGUUCACCUCCGUGCUACUGAUGGUGAUCCUCUCCCUGACCCAACGCGUUAUCGUCAUCUCGUUGGCAGUCUUGUCUAUCUAGCUUUCACUCGUCCGGACAUCUCUUAUCCGGUUCAUAUUCUGAGUCAGUUUGUCUCUGCUCCCACAUCGGUUCACUAUAGUCAUCUCCUUCGUGUUCUCCGAUACCUUCGGGGCACGAUCUCUCACCGUCUAUUCUUUCCUAGCUCCAGUUCUUUACAGCUUCAGGCCUAUUCGGAUGCUACGUGGGCUAGUGAUCCUUCUGAUCGUUGUUCACUUUCUGCUUACUGUGUUUUUCUUGGCGGUUCUCUCAUUGCCUGGAAGACGAAGAAACAGAUUGCAGUUUCCCGUUCGAGUGCUGAGGCUGAGUUGCGAGCCAUGGCUCUUUUGACGGCAGAGGUGACUUGGUUACAGUGGUUACUUCAGGAUUUUGGUGUUUCUGUCACUACACCGACUCUGCUCUUAUCUGACAGUACAGGUGCUAUUAGCAUUGCGCGUGAUCCUGUGAAGCAUGAGCUCACCAAUCAUAUUGGUGUUGAUGCUUUCUAUGUGCGCGCUGGUGUGCAGGAUCAGGUUAUUGCUCUUCAGUAUGUGCCUUCCGAGUUAUAG
This 852-nucleotide ribosomal RNA is filed under the name Triticum aestivum (bread wheat). RNAcentral describes it as "partial small subunit ribosomal RNA". Lineage: Eukaryota; Viridiplantae; Streptophyta; Magnoliopsida; Poales; Poaceae. The record is from RNAcentral.